AUAACGUUCGGAAACGGACGCUAAUACCGCAUACGUCCUACGGGAGAAAGCAGGGGACCUUCGGGCCUUGCGCUAUCAGAUGAGCCUAGGUCGGAUUAGCUAGUUGGUGAGGUAAUGGCUCACCAAGGCGACGAUCCGUAACUGGUCUGAGAGGAUGAUCAGUCACACUGGAACUGAGACACGGUCCAGACUCCUACGGGAGGCAGCAGUGGGGAAUAUUGGACAAUGGGCGAAAGCCUGAUCCAGCCAUGCCGCGUGUGUGAAGAAGGUCUUCGGAUUGUAAAGCACUUUAAGUUGGGAGGAAGGGCAGUAAAUUAAUACUUUGCUGUUUUGACGUUACCGACAGAAUAAGCACCGGCU
RNAcentral lists this ribosomal RNA (360 nucleotides) under unidentified bacterium PIA-10. RNAcentral's name for it is "bacterial SSU rRNA". It matches the Rfam family "Bacterial small subunit ribosomal RNA", at positions 143 to 498 of the family's 1533-position model. The record is from RNAcentral.